Molecule: long non-coding RNA, 456 nt
Organism: Coregonus clupeaformis (lake whitefish)
Lineage: Eukaryota; Metazoa; Chordata; Actinopteri; Salmoniformes; Salmonidae
Exons: 2
Source: RefSeq, a predicted model, not a curated record
ACAAAUUUACAUUUUAGAAAACAAAUUAACAAGACGCAAAACACUUUUACCAGUCCCGAAACAAAUUUACAAAUGACAGAUUCUUCACGGAAAGGGAAUGUUCCACAUACCGGAAGUGACACGGAAGUGAUGAGCGUGGUCUUUUCGUGUUGUUGUUGUGGAGUUUAUGGCGUCAAAUAAGUUUAUGGUGACCGCCCGAACAUGGACUGCGGCCGAGGGAUGUUUUGCCCGUUUUGUGGCAAACACAUGAACAGCUUAACGCGGUUUUGCUUUACGUGUGGUCGGUGUUUGGAGUUUUUAAAGGACGCAGACAAGACGGAAACAUUGGAAACACAGGGACGUCUCGACAGCCGGACAGUGCUAUGCAAAAACAACCAUGCCCAUCAUACAAACAGUUCAUGGAGUACAGAAGCUCGAAAUCAAAAGAACGACAGUCUUUUAACUAUGGGCCAAAAA